GGGACCCCAGCACGCAUAGGAAGGGUCGUGGGGACGCUCACAGGGGGCUCAGGGCAUCCGCACCUUGGGACCUGUGCUGGAUUGACCGUGGCUGGAUGCCGGGUACUUAUCACAGGCACUGUGUCACUGCACUCGUCAGCUGGACUGGGGAGAGAAAAUAUAACUAAAGGCUCGUGGGACGAGGAACUUUCAACACUGAUAUGUGACUUUGGAGGAAUCUUUGUCUAGUCAUGUUUUCAUUUCUAUUCCUUGAAGAUUUGCUGCUAAGCCAUUCCAAACCCAAAGCCUAACCAGUUAUAUUGAUGAUGCAAAGCCUCAUCCUGCAUAUGAGAAUAAACACCAGCCUGGCAGUAACACACAUCAGCUCCAGUUUGCCUCUUUUCUGCCAUAAUACACACACAUCUGUGGCACAAUCACAUCAGUUACUCUGUGCUGGUAGGGUUUUUUCAAGCAGGUUUUUUUUCGGUCUGACUCAGGAAAAACUCCGCAGACAUCACUGAGAAGUACAACAUGACGAAGGUUGAGUAGCAUUGCCAGAAGCUUGAAGACCUCCCCCAGGGAACACAUCUGGUUUUGUCUGCUUUGGAGAUAAACCAGUCCAGGAGAUAGCCCCAUGUACUGAGGACCACACAGACUCCCUGGCACUGUAUACACAACUUGAAGAACUGUGCUUUAACUGCUCUGUGGAAACCACAGUAAGUUCUCAUGUUGCUGAUAGUCAGGAAUUAAAAAUAAAAUGCUGUCUGUUAGUAAUGAAGCUGUUGCAAAAUAAAAAAAAUAUUUUGCUUAAUGAAGGUUAAAUAUUUGCCGUUUCUAACAGCAGUAAAUAUUUUCACCCCGAGCUUCCUAACUGGCUUCCUCUUCUACUCUGACUCACUCUGUUUUGUCACACUUCAGAAAUAUUUAAGCCUAGAAAAGUCUUUGAAGUUAUUUGUCAACUGUCUUACAAAUCCCUUUUAAACAAAAGGGACUGCAACACAUGGUUGUGUUUUCAGCUACAGCUAUCAAUCCAGACAUUCUCUCAACCAGGGAAACCUUGUGGAGUUUUCAUCUUAAGAAAAUAUGAUCAGCUUCAAAGAGUAGCAGGAUGCUAUCUGGUACCAAAAUGACACUAAGAAUGACUUUGAAGUCUCUUCUUCAUAAAUAGUCCCCAUGGUUUCAAUGCAAGUUUUUGCCAAGUAAGAAUCUAAAUCCUGUAUGAAAGAGAGUGAUAUAAGUUCUGUUCUGUAUAAAUUGCACCCUGUAUUUCAGCAUAAAGUUUAAAUGCCUGUAAUUUGAUUACCUAGUGUUUCAUGUUCAGGAAUAUGAUCUUUCUGCUUGGAAAGAUAAAAUUCUGAAAUACGAACAGAGAUAAAAAAGUGGGUUGAAAGCUGAUGCCUGUCUUGUUUGAAUGAACAGAUUCUGGUCAGACAAACUCACAUUACUGC
This is a long non-coding RNA of Neopelma chrysocephalum (saffron-crested tyrant-manakin), 1427 nucleotides long. RefSeq lists it as uncharacterized. NCBI's taxonomy places the organism in Eukaryota, Metazoa, Chordata, Aves, Passeriformes, Pipridae. The transcript is spliced from 3 exons. The record is from RefSeq and is a predicted model, not a curated record.